AGCCCGGGAAACUGGGUAUAAUACCCGAUAGGUCUCGAUUGCUGGAAUGCAUCGAGAUUAAAGCUCCGGCGCCUAAGGAUGGGUCUGCGGCCUAUCAGGUAGUAGUGGGUGUAGCGUACCUACUAGCUACGACGGGUACGGGUUGUGAGAGCAAGAGCCCGGAGAUGGAUUCUGAGACACGAAUCCAGGCCCUACGGGGUGCAGCAGGCGCGAAAACUUUACAAUGCUGGCAACAGCGAUAAGGGAACCUCGAGUGCCAGGUUACAAAUCUGGCUGUCGAGAUGCCUAAAAAGCAUUUCAUAGCAAGGGCCGGGCAAGACCGGUGCCAGCCGCCGCGGUAACACCGGCGGCUCGAGUGGUAACCGUUAUUAUUGGGUCUAAAGGGUCUGUAGCCGGCCGGAUAAGUCUCUUGAGAAAUCUGGCAGCUUAACUGUCAGGCUUUCAGGAGAUACUGUCUGGCUCGAGGCCGGGAGAGGUGAGAGGUACUUCAGGGGUAGGGGUGAAAUCUUGUAAUCCUUGAAGGACCACCAGUGGCGAAGGCGUCUCACCAGAACGGACCUGACGGCAAGGGACGAAAGCUAGGGGCACGAACCGGAUUAGAUACCCGGGUAGUCCUAGCCGUAAACGAUACUCGCUAGGUGUCGGCCACGGUGCGACCGUUGUCGGUGCCGUAGGGAAGCCGUGAAGCGAGCCACCUGGGAAGUACGGCCGCAAGGCUGAAACUUAAAGGAAUUGGCGGGGGAGCACCACAACGGGUGGAGCUUGCGGUUUAAUUGGAUUCAACGCCGGAAAUCUUACCGGGACCGACAGCAAUAUGAAGGCCAGGCUGAAGACUUUGCCGGAUUAGCUGAGAGGUGGUGCAUGGCCGUCGUCAGUUCGUACUGUGAAGCAUCCUGUUAAGUCAGGCAACGAGCGAGACCCA
This 922-nucleotide ribosomal RNA is filed under the name uncultured methanogenic archaeon. RNAcentral's name for it is "bacterial SSU rRNA". It matches the Rfam family "Archaeal small subunit ribosomal RNA", at positions 129 to 1054 of the family's 1478-position model. The record is from RNAcentral. Lineage: Archaea; Methanobacteriati; Methanobacteriota.